UACAGGGGGGGCAAGCGUUGUUCGGAAUUACUGGGCGUAAAGGGUUCGUAGGUGGCUACCUAAGUCAGACGUGAAAUCCCUCAGCUUAACUGGGGAACUGCGUCUGAUACUGGGUGGCUUGAGUGCAGGAGAGGAACGCGGAAUUCCAGGUGUAGCGGUGAAAUGCGUAGAUAUCUGGAGGAACACCGGUGGCGAAGGCGGCGUUCUGGACUGUAACUGACACUGAUGAACGAAAGCCAGGGGAGCAAACGGG
Molecule: ribosomal RNA, 253 nt
Filed under: uncultured bacterium
Lineage: Bacteria
Description: partial 16S ribosomal RNA
Rfam family: Bacterial small subunit ribosomal RNA
Source: RNAcentral